GUAGUCUCGCACAGAUGCAUAUCAAUAAGCGGAGGAAAAGAAACUAACAAGGAUUCCCCUAGUAACGGCGAGUGAAGCGGGAAGAGCUCAAAUUUGAAAUCUUAAAGGGUUUCCCUUUACGAAUUGUAGUUUAAAGAAGUGUUUACUGUUGAGGUUUUGGUAAAAGUUCUUUGGAAUAGGACAUCAUAGAGGGUGAGAAUCCCGUAUUUGACCUUUACUUUCAACUUUGUGAUACACUUUCAAAGAGUCGGAUUGUUUGGGAAUGCAGUCCAAAAUGGGUGGUAAAUUUCAUCUAAAGCUAAAUAUUGGCGAGAGACCGAUAGCGAACAAGUACCGUGAGGGAAAGAUGAAAAGAACUUUGAAAAGAGAGUUAAACAGUACGUGAAAUUGUCAAAAGGGAAGCGUUUGACACCAGUGUUGUUUUUCUGAAAAUCAAUUAAAGAACUGUUUAUGCUAAGUUGUUUAGACUUUAUCAGCUAUCUGUUUAGUUUUGAGCUUUUCUUUAAUGCACUUUUCAGUUAACAAGUCAACAUCAAUUUCUUUUGCUGUAAAAAAGCUUGAGGAAGGUGGCUUGAGAUUCGUCUUAAGUGUUUAUAGCCUCUUGCCUAUGCAGUCGGAGAGAUUGAGGUCUGCAGCGUAGAUCCUUCGGGGCUAAAUGCAUUUGUGCUAAGUUAUAGCAUUUUAUAGACAACUUGUUGACUAUGAUUUAGUCUUGUAGCUUACUCGCUUGUGUAUUUUACCUACGCUUAGGAUGUUGACAGCAGUAUAGACUGU
RNAcentral lists this ribosomal RNA (774 nucleotides) under uncultured Neocallimastigales. RNAcentral describes it as "partial large subunit ribosomal RNA". It matches the Rfam family "Eukaryotic large subunit ribosomal RNA", at positions 24 to 629 of the family's 3401-position model. The record is from RNAcentral. Lineage: Eukaryota; Fungi; Neocallimastigomycota; Neocallimastigomycetes; Neocallimastigales.